Molecule: ribosomal RNA, 511 nt
Filed under: Priestia aryabhattai
Lineage: Bacteria; Bacillati; Bacillota; Bacilli; Caryophanales; Bacillaceae
Description: bacterial SSU rRNA
Rfam family: Bacterial small subunit ribosomal RNA
Source: RNAcentral
CUCUAGAGUUUGAUCCUGGCUCAGGAUGAACGCUGGCGGCGUGCUAAUACAUGCAAGUCGAGCGAACUGAUUAGAAGCUUGCUUCUAUGACGUUAGCGGCGGACGGGUGAGUAACACGUGGGCAACCUGCCUGUAAGACUGGGAUAACUUCGGGAAACCGAAGCUAAUACCGGAUAGGAUCUUCUCCUUCAUGGGAGAUGAUUGAAAGAUGGUUUCGGCUAUCACUUACAGAUGGGCCCGCGGUGCAUUAGCUAGUUGGUGAGGUAACGGCUCACCAAGGCAACGAUGCAUAGCCGACCUGAGAGGGUGAUCGGCCACACUGGGACUGAGACACGGCCCAGACUCCUACGGGAGGCAGCAGUAGGGAAUCUUCCGCAAUGGACGAAAGUCUGACGGAGCAACGCCGCGUGAGUGAUGAAGGCUUUCGGGUCGUAAAACUCUGUUGUUAGGGAAGAACAAGUACGAGAGUAACUGCUCGUACCUGACGGUACCCUACCAGACUAAUGUUGGC